This 501-nucleotide ribosomal RNA is filed under the name uncultured Glomus. RNAcentral describes it as "SSU rRNA". It matches the Rfam family "Eukaryotic small subunit ribosomal RNA", at positions 569 to 1074 of the family's 1831-position model. The record is from RNAcentral. Lineage: Eukaryota; Fungi; Glomeromycota; Glomeromycetes; Glomerales; Glomeraceae.
AGCAGCCGCGGUAAUUCCAGCUCCAAUAGCGUAUAUUAAAGUUGUUGCAGUUAAAAGCUCGUAGUUGAAUUUCGGGAUCAGAUUGUCGGUCGUGCCUCGGUACGCACUGGCAUUAUUGGUUCCUACCUUCUGAAGAACCGCGAUGUCAUUAAUUUGGUGUCGUGGGGAAUCAGGACUGUUACUUUGAAAAAAUUAGAGUGUUUAAAGCAGGCGCACGCUUGAAUACAUUAGCAUGGAAUAAUGAAAUAGGACGUUUGAUUCUAUUUUGUUGGUUUCUAGGAUCGACGUAAUGAUUAAUAGGGAUAGUUGGGGGCAUUAGUAUUCAAUUGCCAGAGGUGAAAUUCUUGGAUUUAUUGAAGACUAACUACUGCGAAAGCAUUUGCCAAGGAUGUUUUCAUUAAUCAAGAACGAAAGUUAGGGGAUCGAAGACGAUCAGAUACCGUCGUAGUCUUAACCAUAAACUAUGCCGACUAGGGAUCGGAUGAUGUUAAUUUUUAAUGA